This 460-nucleotide ribosomal RNA is filed under the name uncultured bacterium. RNAcentral describes it as "partial 16S ribosomal RNA". It matches the Rfam family "Bacterial small subunit ribosomal RNA", at positions 338 to 795 of the family's 1533-position model. The record is from RNAcentral.
CCUACGGGUGACAGCAGUGAGGAAUAUUGGUCAAUGGACGAGAGUCUGAACCAGCCAAGUAGCGUGAAGGAUGACUGCCCUAUGGGUUGUAAACUUCUUUUAUAAAGGAAUAAAACGCGGCACGCUUGCCUCUUUGCAUGUACUUUAUGCAUAAGGAUCGUCUAACUCCGUGCCAGCAGCCGCGGUAAUACGGCGGAUCCGAGCGUUAUCCGGAUUUCUUGGGUUUAAAGGGGGCGUAGAUGGGUUGUGCAGUCAAUGGUUAAAGUUGGCGGCUCAACCGUAAAAUUGCAAUUGAUACUGGCAGUCUUGAGUACGAUUGAAGUAGGCGGAAGUCGUGGUGUAGCGGUGAAAGGCUUAGAUAUCACGAAGAACCCCGAUUGCGAAGGCAGCUUACUAAACUGUGACUGACAUUGAUGCACGAAAGUGUGGGUAUCAAACAGGAUUAGAUACCCUUGUAGUC